GGGCACUUGGUCUAGGGGUAUGAUUUUCGUUUCGCAUGUUGUACCAACAUCAUGUAUGAAAGGUCGUGGGUUCAAUUCCCACAGUGUCCA
This is a non-coding RNA of Dissoconium aciculare CBS 342.82, 90 nucleotides long. NCBI's taxonomy places the organism in Eukaryota, Fungi, Ascomycota, Dothideomycetes, Mycosphaerellales, Dissoconiaceae. The record is from the annotation of a RefSeq genome assembly.